UACAAUCAGGGUAACCAGAGGGGAAAAAAAUCAUUCACAAGGGUUUAGACAAUGUAAACUUUUCCACCACGCGAACGGGAGCAGCCCCGGCCCCGCAGCCCUCCCCUUUCCUCGGGGAACCUCGCAGAGGCAGGCGAGCUCCCGCGCUACCUUUCCGGAGGGGGAGGCUGGCCGGGGGCAGAGGAGUUAAGCUUCCCUGGCAGGACCCCCGGGCUGCAGCGUCCUGGUGCGAUUACAAAAGCCAAUGGAAAGGCUGUGGGCUUCACCCCGGGCCGUGCUGGGGGGAGGGGGCGAGGGACCGGACCUGGGCUGAGCCUCAGCCUGAGGAGCUGGUUGGAUUCUCCCCGACCCAGAGCUGGAGAAGGGGCUUGUUGUCGGCUGCCUCCGCACUAAGCAAUCAGGACUUGUGGGAGAGGUGAUAUCUUUUCUUAGACCAAAUAGAUUUUUGCAAAAUUUCUAAGCCUGCAGACGUGCUGGCAGCAGGGCUUUCCUAGAGCAUCCCCCCCGGUAAGGCUCCCGGCGGGUUUGCACACAGCCGGCGUGUCCCUUUUCCCGGCCUUCCCGCAGGGAUGUGCUUCUUGCUCGGCGCCCGGCACUCGCACCUCCCGGGCGGUCCGGCGGCUUCCGCCUCCCCAGGGCUCGGGCUCUGCCUGCCGCUCGCUGGCCCCGGGCUCUGCCAGAGCCCGGACAAAAAGCUGCAUCCUUUCCAGAUGGGGUUAAGCGACGCGGCUGGGGUUUGAAGUGGCAGCUGGGCCGGGCGGCUUUGCGGAGCGAGGUUACUGAACGGGACUAGGUGGGAGCUCCUUUCGGGGGCGCACAACAAAGAGGCGAGUGCGCCUGUCCCUCGCGCGCCACAUGCGCUCAGCCCGGACUUUACACAUCAAACAAGACGAGACGUUGCACUUUCACUUUCAUUUGCAAUGAGAAACCUGCUGGCACCAAACAGGGAGGAGGAGGGGGAGGGAAGCCCAAGGAUGUCUUCCAUGCAGUGAGAUCCUGAACAUAAUCUGGCAUACAGAUCGGAAACGGGAAAGGGUCUAGGGGAAGGUCGUCUCGCACUGGUGUGAUCUGCUGAAUCAUUUAUGCGGAGUGAGGCGAAGGGCGAGCUGGGGGUGCUGGUGCUCGGGGGGCGAGAGGGUGGAACUGGCGUCUUGAAAUCCCAGCUCUCACACCCGCCAAGUUAAUUUCCGAUUGCCAAAAGGAGAGAGGGGUGGGGGAAAAAUCCCUUCCUGAAUCUAGGCUCUAAGAUUUCAAGCUUCUGCUAACAUUAUUUCCCAUCUGAUGGGGUUUUUUUCAUCCUACGCCGGAGGUAGUAGGUGUAAUUCUUCUGGUGAAUCCAUGAAUAGUUGGCUUAAGUCUGAAAUGAUUCAGACUGGAAACGUCCAAGAGGAGUUAUUCCAAUUCUUCUCCGAGUCCUGAAAGCGAAAAGCAUCAGUCUACAGAGUCAAUCGUCCUCAUCGUGACCUUAAUCAGGAUUUGGCUAUGUGCCACUUCAAAUGUAGAGCUUGGUCCUGUGGUUGGCAUUGACAGCUCCAAAUAAACACGCUCCAUAUGGGAGCGGCACGUUUGCUUUUAAGAUAAAGAGCCAUUCUAGAGGAGUUUGGAUUGCUGCACACAGGCACGUGGGCUCGCUCCUCACAGUAGCUCUAAGUAUUAAGAACCUUUAAAAGUAGUUUAUUUGUCAUCGAUCGCACUGAAAUGUGCCGGGGAUGGACAACACAACACGACUCCCGCGCGGUCUUUGACCAAACUACUGUUCCAAGGACUUUAGGGUAACAAAACAUCUCCAGAGCAGAGUGUAACUACAAAUGUCAUGUCUGAACUGUGAAAUAACGCCCCUAAGAGAUGCCAGAAUUCAGACAGAAAACUGUUUUAUUCUCGGGAUCUGUGGUCAACCUGACGAUGCCCUUCAUGUAAUUGCUUAUUCAAAGAGCGCCAUCCUGCGGCUGAAUGCGAACUUUCCUCUGAAUAUUUGGAGGAAGAAGUCUGUGGACAUCUCUUAAAUACAGUCUAAGAAAAAAUAUGAAAAAUAUUGCUCAAACAUAUACAUCAUGAAGACACAGAAAACAUGUCCAUGAUAAUGGCCAUUUAAGAAAUACCACAAAAAGGAUUUAUAUCAAGGAUGAAUUUGGCCCAAUGGGCUUACUCAUGGAAUGAAGAGGAGCAGUUCUUGGCUCAAACCUUAUGUUUCACUGUUUUGUUGUGUUUCCAUUUGUAGAAUAAGUCAUUUAGCAGUCAUCUACAAGAUCUAUGAACAGCAAAGUUGAGACAAAUUUUAAAGUUUUCCACAAUGGAAAACCAGAUUGGAAGAAUUGCUCAUAGUUUGGGGUAUGUGAAGACAUGGAAACUGUCAAAAUUCUCCACAUACAUGCACAAAUUAUUAACUUGAUUAACUGCUAAUUUUGAUUGUAGGAUGAAAGUUCUAAAAUGUCAAGUUAUAACUAUCAGCAACAUAAGACAAUUCCAUAGGAAUUAAGUGAUUAUAAACCAGAUCACUUAUGAAAAAAAUCUCUGCCUGAGAGGUAUUUUGUUUAAAUGAUUAUCAUGUUUGUAUUUAUAGACAUCAUAGAAAACUUGAAAUGAUCUUGAAAUUAUCAAGAGUUAAAGAACUGAAUGAAUCUAACUUCUUCCAUAUUGCUGGAUUAAAUGUCAGGAAAAGAUAAAUUAAAAUGAUUAUUUACAGAUUUCUAAGUAGCAUUAGGUAUGCAUAUUGCUUUGCACACAGAAUAGAAGUCAGUAUAAUUUAGAUAAAUUCAAAGAAUGUUACAGACCUUGGAAAAAUACAGUCACUUAUAUCUUACUGACUGAUUGUCCCAGAAAAUGUUAAGGACCUAUAUACCCCUUCCAAGAUAACACUGACAACUCAGAAACAAAACUAUCACUAAGACAGGAGUUUGGCCAUCAGAUAAAAGACCCUUCCUUUCACAGCAACUGGAAACGACAAGAUACCACUCAUUCGCCACUGCAACUUCCAAAACUGUAUAGCAAGCAUGGUAUGGAUGCUGGGAGGGAAUCAGUUCCUUUCCCAGCUUCUUGCCAGUAGCUUCAUGGGUGGAGAACUAUUGGGUGGAGGAGACUAUAUCUAUAAAUGGCUGAUUGUAGAAGCAUAUUUGCAUGAGCUCCCCACCAUUUGAAUGUUUCUACAUAAACAUAACAAUUGGCUGAGGAUUUGUUGGCUUGACCUAAAGCUAAUUUAAAUGGGAAAUAAGUGAUUUACACCUAACCUAGUGCUAUGGACAUCACUCAACUGGCAAGCCCACAUAAUCAUAGUUAUAUCACCUGUGUAACUUUUAGAUAAGACAUGGCCCUCUUGACAUUAUAGAAUAAUGGGUUGGAAGGGACCUCAAGGUUUAUCUAGUCCAAUCCCCAGGAAAAAUAUUCUAAUUAAUACACUUAAAAUGCAUUAAUUUUGUAUAAAUUUUGGCAUGUUAUAUGGUAAAUUCAUAUUGUUGUAGUUAAAGAUAAAACAAAAACAAAGACUUUCAAAUAAAAGACUGGUGAGUCACAAAUAA
Long non-coding RNA from Alligator mississippiensis (American alligator), 3512 nucleotides. RefSeq lists it as uncharacterized. The record is from RefSeq and is a predicted model, not a curated record. The transcript has 3 exons. Lineage: Eukaryota; Metazoa; Chordata; Crocodylia; Alligatoridae.